This 818-nucleotide ribosomal RNA is filed under the name uncultured Hyphomicrobiales bacterium. RNAcentral's name for it is "bacterial SSU rRNA". It matches the Rfam family "Bacterial small subunit ribosomal RNA", at positions 52 to 916 of the family's 1533-position model. The record is from RNAcentral. Lineage: Bacteria; Pseudomonadati; Pseudomonadota; Alphaproteobacteria; Hyphomicrobiales.
CACAUGCAAGUCGAACGCUCGUAGCAAUACGGGAGUGGCAGACGGGUGAGUAACGCGUGGGUACAUACCUCCGGUUCGGAAUAGCUCAGGGAAACUUGGAUUAAUACCGGAUACGGCUGAGAGGCGAAAGAUUUAUCGCCGGAGGAUUGGCCCGCGUUCGAUUAGCUUGUUGGUGAGGUAACGGCUCACCAAGGCGAUGAUCGAUAGCUGGUCUGAGAGGAUGAUCAGCCACAUUGGGACUGAGACACGGCCCAAACUCCUACGGGAGGCAGCAGUGGGGAAUAUUGGACAAUGGGCGCAAGCCUGAUCCAGCCAUGCCGCGUGAGUGAUGACGGCCUUAGGGUUGUAAAGCUCUUUCGCUCGGGACGAUAAUGACGGUACCGAGAUAAGAAGCCCCGGCUAACUUCGUGCCAGCAGCCGCGGUAAUACGAAGGGGGCUAGCGUUGUUCGGAAUUACUGGGCGUAAAGCGCGUGUAGGCGGGUCUUUAAGUCAGGGGUGAAAUGCCAAGGCUCAACCUUGGAACUGCCUUUGAUACUGGAGAUCUUGAGUCCGGGAGAGGUGAGUGGAAUUGCGAGUGUAGAGGUGAAAUUCGUAGAUAUUCGCAAGAACACCAGUGGCGAAGGCGGCUCACUGGCCCGGAACUGACGCUGAGACGCGAAAGCGUGGGGAGCAAACAGGAUUAGAUACCCUGGUAGUCCACGCUGUAAACGAUGGAUGCUAGCCGUUGGGGAGCUUGCUCUUCAGUGGCGCAGCUAACGCUUUAAGCAUCCCGCCUGGGGAGUACGGUCGCAAGAUUAAAACUCAAAGGAAUUGACGG